AUGAAAGGCCUCUUGAAAGGGAGAUUUUUGCCCGCUGAUUAUGACCAGAUCCUAUUUAUCCAAUUUCAAAAUUGUGCUCAAGGAAAUAGGACUGUUUCAGAUUACACGGAGGAGUUUCUAAGGCUACAAGUGAGGUGCAACCUUGCUGAAACUGAAGAGCAACAAGUUGCAAGGUACAUCAAUGGUCUCAAUGAUGCUAUUCAAGAUCGAUUGAUGAUGCAACAAAUCUGGUCCGUUGAUCAAGCACAAGCUCUAGCCUUAAAGGCCGAGAGGUUUGUGAGGAUGAGAAAGAUAACUAAGGCUCCAUAUCCUCCAUAUCCUCAUACCGAAGGCUCAUCUAGGAGCCAACCUAAUAGAGUGGAAGAAAAGACCACUCCACCAAAGACAAAACAGCCCAUCCCGAAGCAAACUAGAGGCAAGGGUAAGGCAAAUGAAGGUCCAAAGUGCUAUAAAUGUGGUAAAGAGGGACACAUAUCCAGCAGCUGCCCACUAAGGAAAUUUGUUAACAUGACUAUCCAUGAUGGUGAAAGCGAUGAGGAAGAAUACGAAUCUGAAGAUGUAGAAGGACAAGAGGUUUGUCAAGAAGAAGGUGAAGAGGUGGUAUGUGUGAUCCAGCGUGUCCUAUGUUCCACACCACAACUCGAUGACACACAACGGAAGAAAAUAUUUGAGAGCAAAUGCACGGUGAAUGGCAAGGUAUGCAAACUAGUGAUUGAUAGUUGCAGUUGCGAGAAUCUUAUCUCCCAGAAGUUGAUGGACCAUUUAAAGCUUGAAACCCAUGAUCAUCCAAAUCCCUACACUAUUGGAUGGAUCAAGAAAGGAGUGAAUAUGAGGAUCACCAAACAAUGCAACCUGCCACUUUCUUUGGGUAAGCAUUAUCGCUCAAAUGUGUUGUGUGAUGUGGUUGACAUGGAUGCCAGCCAUGUUCUUCUUGGGAGGCCUUGGCAAUUUGAUGUGGAUACUACACACAAGGGCAAGGAAAAUUCUUACUCUUUCAUUUGGAACAAGAGAAGGAUCAUUAUCUUACCAAACAAACCCGAAGGUAAUACCUCUAAGGAGGAGGGGAAAACUAUGUUAACUAUCUCCCAUACCUCUCAUGAGUUUAUGGAAGACUUGAAGGAGGCAGAUUUGUGUGCUGUACUUGUUGUAAAGGGAGAAGAGCACCUGACUGUUGAAAUUCCAGCAAAGGUACGUGGUUUAUUGGCAGAAUUUCAGAACAUACUUGGGGAGCCACAUGGCUUGCCACCGAUGAGAGGAAUUCAACAUAGAAUUGACUUAAUUCCGGGAGCAAGUCUUCCUAAUCUUCCACACUAUCGAAUGAGCCCAAAGGAGCAUGGUAUAUUGAAGGAGAAAGUGGAGGAAUUGUUGCAAAAGGGGCACAUUCGAGAAAGUAUUAGCCCAUGUGCUGUACCAGCCCUGCUCGCGCCAAAGAAAGAUGGAUCUUGGCGCAUGUGUACGGACAGUAGAGCCGUUAACAAGAUCACCGUAAGGUAUAGAUUCCCUAUUCCCCGUCUGGAUGAUAUGUUGGAUCAGCUUAGUGGAGCAAGAGUGUUCACAAAGCUAGAUUUAAGAAGUGGAUAUCAUCAAAUCCAUAUAAGACCCGGGGAUGAAUGGAAGACCGCCUUCAAGACAAAGGAAGGGUUGUUUGAAUGGCUAGUCAUGCCAUUUGGACUCUCAAAUGCACCAAGUACCUUUAUGCACUUAAUGAAUCAAGUCCUUAGACCCUUCUUAUCCCACUUUGUUGUGGUCUAUUUCGAUGACAUCUUGAUCUAUAGCAAGGAUGAGGAUGAACACUUUGAUCACAUUCAGAAGGUGCUAGAAGUACCAAGGGAAAAUGAGCUCUACGUCAACUUGAAGAAAUGUGUUUUCCUGCAAACACAACUUCUUUUCCUAGGAUUCGUCAUAACAUAA
RNAcentral lists this ribosomal RNA (1911 nucleotides) under Triticum aestivum (bread wheat). Its description in RNAcentral is "partial small subunit ribosomal RNA". The record is from RNAcentral. Lineage: Eukaryota; Viridiplantae; Streptophyta; Magnoliopsida; Poales; Poaceae.